GCAGUUUUGUAGAUUCCAUUUUAUUGGCCUGGUAUCACAGCAUUAGAAAUACAAGGGGAAAAGCCAAGACGAUGAAAGCCAGGGAACAUAGCUGCAAGCACCAGAGAGCACAAGUUCCCCUCCAUGGCUCUGCGGCUCAAAUGGAAAAAGGAGAGAUGUCUGCUUUGAUUUCUUUCCUUUUAAUUAAUCAGGAUCACAAAGCAAUCUCCACCCUGUCCCUGGGAUUUAAGAUACUGGUUAAACUCCACCGUGUCCCGAAUUCUCCACAGAAGGUGGAGGAGUGUUCAGAAUCUGAAGUCCACCCGCGGACCAUUAAAAACCUCUAGGUCUGUGCCCUCAUUUUUAACACUCAAAUUAAAGGAUCACCCUGAGCCACCACGCAGUGCACUCUUCUCUAUUUUCUCCCUCUUGUUGCUGGGCCGGUUUUGGAAAUUAGAAGGGGUGGUCUCUUUGUUAGCAAUCUGUUUACUUUCUUCUGAUACAAUGAAGCAUCAGGUCGAAGGUGACAAGGCUUCUUUGCUUAGUCAUUUUUACCCAUCUCUUUGUAGAUGAUGUUUUUUUCCAUUUUCAAUUUUUUUUUUCAUCAAUGCCAUCUCCCCAACAGCAUUUCAAAAAUAAAAUUUCCAAGUCCUUUUUUUAAAUGUGGUUCCAGUCAAAUGAUUUACCCACACCCCAAAUAAUAUUAUUUACAUCCAGUAUUAAUAGCUGCAUAUCAGUAAUUCUUAGAGAUCUUCUGAUCCAUAUUUAACAAUUUAAAUGAUGGCUAACAUUAUUGCCAGGCAAAUGCCUGAACCAAUAGUUUGUGGACUAGUUGCCAGCCAGAUGACAGCCAGGUAUACACAGGGUAAGAACAUAAUUAAGUUUCUGCCCUAGUCUCUUCAAUUGCAGAAGGCAGACAACACUCUUUCUCACCUUCCAGGGAAGUAGAUUAGCAGAUUAACAAAAUGAUGUAAAUCACAUAAGCUUUACAUCCCCCUUCCCCUUCUAAUACCUAUUUAGGAACACUUUAAAAUUUUUCCUUUAGGCAUCUAGUCUUUCUGUGGUUUAGCCACAUGCUCUCCCCUUUUUGGCUUUCUCCUUCUGUAAAAUAAGUAAGGUGAAAGAGCAGAUUAGGAGUUUUUCUUUUUCUUACAGCUUUCCUGUGUUUGAGUGGAUCAUCCUGUUGCCAUCGUUUUAGUCCAGUUGUUGUUAAUUCAUGUUCUUACCACCCACCAAAGAAUAGCACAGGAUUAAGUUUAUAUUAAUAAAUGAUGUUCAUGAGUAGGUUUUUAAAUGCCAGAGUUAUGAUUUAUUUUUUUAAAUGGGUGGAGAAAGGAGAGCGGCAAUAACUAGCUCCCAAGUCAUUCAAAAUCCUGGCAUCACACAUCUAUGUGGGUUUUUCUUUCUUUGUUUUGGUCUUUAAGUUUUUUGGACACACCUCUUAUUUCCCUUUUAGUCCUAUAUCAUGGAAUAAAUGCUUUUUUUGACUAUCUUUGUCCAUAGCUUGAAACCCUGUUUAUUACAGUUAAAUUUAUAGAAAGUAUUAUAUGGUCCUCUUUUCUUCUUCUUAAGAGCUUAUAAUUGUCCCUGUUUAUCUCCCCACCCAUUAAGAAUUCUGUAAUAAAUCCCUGCACCAAAUAAAUUAAAAUCUGCAACUUCAGACACCCGAGGAAGAGGACAUUAAUCCACUUAGUAAAAUACUCAAGACCUCCCCCUCUCAAUUUCAGCUCUUCUUAAUGUAACAUUCAGUAAUUACAGCUGGCUCCUUAUACUUCCCUCCCUCCCUUUUAUUCUGAAUUAUAUUGGCCUUGCUUAACCUUCAUUUCCUUUUCUACCCCCCACAUUUGUCCACAUACUUUUCUUUGACCAUGUUUGUCUCUUUCUCUUUCUUUCUGCUGUGUGGAUUGAGGGCAACAAAUGAAGCUUUCCAAGAGCUUAAUACUUGCCCGUAAAAUCCCAUCCUACCUCCCCAUUCCACUAUUAACGUUUUGUACAAUUUUUAUGCAUCCUUCAGUUGUGUAGUUACUGCUCUAUAUUUUUCUGAUUGAUCAUUAAGUUAUGCUGGCUUUUCAGAACUGUCUCCAUAAUCCUGAAGCAAAGCCUUUUUACUUGGCAUGCUCUCUGCCUUUGGAAUGCCUUUCCUGGCAAGGACAGACGCUUUGGUUUGACUACGAUUCUUAAGUUACAAUUCAAAGCUAAUUUGUUCAGUUAGGUUUCUACUAUGAGCAGCUCUGUUUCUCACCGUUAAGUGCUCCAUGAUGCUGCUUAGUUGAAGGGUGUGUUGUAAGUGCAAGAUGUAAUAUACUUAUAUUGUACUUGAUUAUCAGUUUUCAAAAACAGCUGCAUGCUUUGAUAUCUGUGUAAGGAAAUAUCGAAAGAUAAUAUACCAUUGGUAUUUAUUACUCUAUAAUUAAGGAUGUGUCAGUGUUUCCCUUCCAAAAAAGCCCCUUAUUUUCAGAAAUUCAUAUCUCAGGCAUAAAUUUCCCUAUGAAUUACAGUCUAAUACCAUAUUAGAAGUUUCUCCUUUUUAAGUUAUCCCUCCCCUUCCUUUUCUUUCUGAGGAAGUAAGUCUCAGGAUGUAAUUUCUGGGUUAUUGCUUUGGGAUGAGGGGGAGCAGGCCCAGUGAUGCACAGUUCAAGGUGCUGCCACAUUGCCACCUGCUCCCUCUGCUCUUCUGCCCUGUGUGGGGAGACACUGGGGGCUGCCUUUCUGAUGAAGGGUCAGCUUUAUACACACAUGGGUGAGCAGCUUUGCCACUGUAUGAUUCGAAAGGCAAUAGAGAAGAGUCAGUUGUCCAGAAAUAUCACAAGUGCCACAGAGUCUGAACUUUUAGUACAGAAAUCAAUUCUUCCGCAUUCCUCUCCUUAUGGUCAUUGAGAAUACAAGCACUGGCUGGUGUAACAUGAAAUACACCUAGAGUAAGGUAUUAGCAACUUAUUAACACGUUUCUUCUUACAGUGAGAGGCAGAAGGAAGAAAGAGGAGAAAGAGAAGACAAAUGUUUUUCCCUUCUUGAAGAGGUGGUCUUGACUACUGCUCAACCACAGCCUACUGAAAGAGCCCUGGAAAAUCUGAGUUCUAGAUCUGCCUGUACCACUGUGGGACCCAAGCAAAGGACUGGGAGACAGAAGCCUUCAGUUUGAAUUUCAGAUUCUUGAAGACUAACUUUCUCAAUCAUAUUCUCGGGAAAGUAACUAUGUGUUCAUUUCUAAGAAUCAUGUGAAGAUGGCUCUGUCUACUGAGAAUCGACUUCAAAUGCAUGCUACUAAAAUGGAGCUAAUAUGCGUCAUUUCCUCAGCUAUAAUUUGGGGAGGUUAAUACUUGUUAAAUCACUAGACUGCUAUAAGGUUUGCCCAUAAACAUUGUAAAUAAUGUAUUCAAAAUUAUUAAAAUGUUACAAUAUAAACAAGAAUGUGAUAUAAUAAAAUGUAAUUAUAUAAA
Molecule: long non-coding RNA, 3419 nt
Filed under: Homo sapiens (human)
Lineage: Eukaryota; Metazoa; Chordata; Mammalia; Primates; Hominidae
Description: PREDICTED lncRNA (TCONS_00151639)
Source: RNAcentral